Molecule: ribosomal RNA, 45 nt
Filed under: Pseudosuccinea columella
Lineage: Eukaryota; Metazoa; Mollusca; Gastropoda; Lymnaeidae
Also listed under: 2 other names
Description: partial 18S ribosomal RNA
Rfam family: Eukaryotic small subunit ribosomal RNA
Source: RNAcentral
UGUCGUAACAAGGUUUCCGUAGGUGAACCUGCGGAAGGAUCAUUA